This is a long non-coding RNA of Antechinus flavipes (yellow-footed antechinus), 272 nucleotides long. RefSeq lists it as uncharacterized. The record is from RefSeq and is a predicted model, not a curated record. The transcript is spliced from 4 exons. NCBI's taxonomy places the organism in Eukaryota, Metazoa, Chordata, Mammalia, Dasyuromorphia, Dasyuridae.
AGGUGGUAUCUCUGUCUACAAAAGAGAAAAAGACAUAGUCAUUAAAAACGGGGAUAAAUUAAUGGUAACUGUUUUCUUCAUAAAGAGAUUUGAAAAAUUCUGCAUUUGAUAUGAACAAAAAAGAACAUGGACUUAUUAAGAAGCAAGAACUAAAGGGAUGAUUGUGGGAUUCAAAUUGUCCUCUUCCUCCUUAUCAUCAUCAUCAUCAUCAUUAUCCUGAUGAUUUCAGAACUAUACUGGGAUGUGCUGGUGAGUUUUUACAAUCUAGUCAC